GGAGAUUUCGGUCAACUGAGUACGAGGACAGUGGCGGACGGGUGAGUAACGCGUGAGGAACCUGCCUUUCAGAGGGGGACAACAGUUGGAAACGACUGCUAAUACCGCAUAACACAUUGAGAUCGCAUGGUCUUAAUGUCAAAGAUUUAUCGCUGAAAGAUGGCCUCGCGUCUGAUUAGCUAGUUGGUGAGGUAACGGCCCACCAAGGCGACGAUCAGUAGCCGGACUGAGAGGUUGAACGGCCACAUUGGGACUGAGAUACGGCCCAGACUCCUACGGGAGGCAGCAGUGGGGAAUAUUGGGCAAUGGGCGCAAGCCUGACCCAGCAACGCCGCGUGAAGGAAGAAGGCUUUCGGGUUGUAAACUUCUUUUGUUAGGGAAGAGGAGAAGACUGUACCUAGCGAAUAAGCCACGGCUAACUACGUGCCAGCAGCCGCGGUAAUACGUAGGUGGCAAGCGUUGUCCGGAUUUACUGGGUGUAAAGGGCGUGUAGCCGGGUCGGUAAGUCAGAUGUGAAAUCCACGGGCUCAACUCGUGAACUGCAUUUGAAACUGCUGGUCUUGAGUAUCGGAGAGGCAAUCGGAAUUCCUAGUGUAGCGGUGAAAUGCGUAGAUAUUAGGAGGAACACCAGUGGCGAAGGCGGAUUGCUGGACGACAACUGACGGUGAGGCGCGAAAGCGUGGGGAGCAAACAGGAUUAGAUACCCUAGUAGUCCACGCCGUAAACGAUGAGUACUAAGUGUUGGGGUUACCC
This 753-nucleotide ribosomal RNA is filed under the name bacterium enrichment culture clone WG_103. RNAcentral describes it as "bacterial SSU rRNA". It matches the Rfam family "Bacterial small subunit ribosomal RNA", at positions 68 to 834 of the family's 1533-position model. The record is from RNAcentral.